AGACUCCGCUACAACGAGCAUCGGAGGAACGGCAUUAACAGAGAAGAGGACACUCCCCUAGGAGAGCAUGCGCUGCAUAAGCACCCUGAGAUGGAUCGACGCGACAUCUCGGUGACGGCCAAAAUCCUGCGUGUAUGCAAAGACGAAGCGGAUAGAAGAAUCGCUGAAUCCAUCUUCAUCCGAGACGCCAGGCCCAAAAUUAACGAUAACACUACAUCAUGGCAGCUUCUUCCAAAAUAAUGUAUAUAAAUGUGUGUGAAUUGGUUCUUGAAAGAUACCUAUAUAUGUACUGCUAGUUUAACUGGGGAAUUAUGUGUAGAUAUAUUUUUAAGGUAGGAACUAGGGUGAUCAAUUUGCACGGGAUCUGUGUAUUUAAAUUUCUUACUGCGACAUUACUGAAGAACUUGAGACGAAUUCGACAUUGUGUGCCUGUUAUGUGUGUAAAUAAUUACAAUCGACCGACGAAGAGCUGUGCUCGAAAUAUCUCGAUUUUUAAUACAGUAAUUUAUUUUGGCAAUUUCAUAUUUCCAUACAGAAGUGAGGAUAAGUCGUACAACCAUGACAUCGACUGCGCCACGGCGGUCGCCUGAGCCACCUGACGUCGAGGACCGGCCUUCUUCCGUGACUGAUACUGAGCACAGCUGGAUGGACCGUUGUAGUGGGACGGCGGUGCGCGGCAUUGUCUAACGGAAGAGAAGGCGCCCUGGGAUAGAUGCUUCACGCGCGGGUUAAUUUUAUGGUGUUUGUGAGCUUCAAUAUGCUGGCUGCCUUUGCUUGAACUCCAUGAUUGUAGCAGGGAUGGGUUGCAGGUAUUUAUUUUAUAUUGCGUGAUAAGGUUUUGAAUUCAUGUCAUGUGAUAUCGAAACAGGUUUCGGGAGUCCGGGUAUUACGACAAAAUAUUACUCAUAAUAUUACCGUGACAAAAAAUGAUUAUAAACAAUAAACUGGGCUUCUGGCAUU
Amphibalanus amphitrite is the source of this 960-nucleotide long non-coding RNA. RefSeq lists it as uncharacterized. The record is from RefSeq and is a predicted model, not a curated record. Lineage: Eukaryota; Metazoa; Arthropoda; Thecostraca; Balanomorpha; Balanidae. The transcript has 2 exons.